CGAAUAUAGCUUUCAUCAUUGCCGUAACAUCGACGGGUUAGGAAAAAGGGAUUAGAGCCCUCGUCUGUUGCUAUAAGUAGGUGAGGGACAAAGUAGAGAAGGUCAGCAGCGAGGCUACUGACAUUGAAGGUGAGAUGCGAUCCCCUCCCAAGGAUAAAGAAAAAAAUGGAGGAUGUCUCCAAGAAGAAAUACAAGGUCUCCUCCACUGGAGAAGAGGGUCGAUGGCCAGCCCAUUACCUUAAACGAAAGUCCCACGAAAAAAUUGAUGGAAGCCUUUAUUGCUGUAGCCAAGCCAACUCUUAUGGAGCCCUCAAGGCAAAGAAUCAUCGAAGAGGGUGAGGACUUUGAGUGAGUCAACUGCUUCUGAUGUUGCUCUUUUCCUCAGGCUCUCCGUCUCAAAAAGUAGCAAUGAGUUGCUCUGAAGGUUCUGUCCAUGCUUCCACCAAAGGUUCAAAUUGCAACUUCCACAUUUCACAAGUACUGGACGAAUAGGUGGCCGAACUUCAUGGAGACUAGUGAUUCAAUAGACACAUUUACCAACAUGGUAAACCAGGUAGGGAGUGCCUUUGGCACCGCCAUAGAAGCUGAAGUCCUCUUUAAAAAACUUCAAAAGAAAAAUAAGUUGUUAUUGAAUAAGGUCUCCCAGGCCAAUGAGAUAACCAUGAAGGCUAAAGUCGAAGCUAAAGCUAUAAGAAAAUAGCAAGUUGGGGAGUCUGUGAAGCUCGUCUCUGCUUUAGCAGAGAUUGAAAAUCUGAAGAAGAAAGUCCACUUAUCUUAAAGUGAAGUGGCUUCCCUGACUAAAUGAGUGGAGACUUCGAAUGCUCAUCAAAAACUUAUUAUUGAGGCCUUAGAGAAGGCAAAUAAAAGAACGUGGUAUUAAAGCAAAAGAUGAGGGAGCUCAACUCUAGGGGUUGCUAGCCUCACUGACGAGGUGGGAUGUGUUUGAGAAGAGCCCAAUCUGCUGGCAAUGAUGCUGUAAAACAAUACAUAGCCAACUUCCACUUAACCAAGGAGUAUCAGCGUUCACCAAUAUUUGUGAAGGUUUUCAUACAUCGAGGUGGUGGAAUGGAUUGAGUUUAUGUCAGAGUUUCUAGACAAAGGAGAGCCUGAGACCUCAAUAGAGAACAUCUGUGUCAUUAAGCUUAAAGAUGAUGAAGCUGGAGAUGAGCAUUUAACUUCCAAAGUAGAUGGUCCUCAAGUUAUUAUCCCUUUUACUGGUGCUCUUUCUCUUCCUCCACUUAUUUAGCUUAUAGGAUUUAUUUUUAUUUUUCUUAUUUUUACUUCUUUGUAAGUGGCUUCGCCCUCAAUGUAAAUAUUGUUGUUCAUUGAAUAGCAAAUUCUUUCGUUACA
RNAcentral lists this long non-coding RNA (1350 nucleotides) under Olea europaea (common olive). RNAcentral's name for it is "long non-coding RNA (OEUR_LNC011215)". The record is from RNAcentral. Lineage: Eukaryota; Viridiplantae; Streptophyta; Magnoliopsida; Lamiales; Oleaceae.